RNAcentral lists this ribosomal RNA (508 nucleotides) under uncultured bacterium. RNAcentral's name for it is "partial 16S ribosomal RNA". It matches the Rfam family "Bacterial small subunit ribosomal RNA", at positions 28 to 507 of the family's 1533-position model. The record is from RNAcentral.
GACGAACGCUGGCGGCGUGCCUAAUACAUGCAAGUCGAACGCUUCUUUCCUCCCGAGUGCCUGCACUCAAUUGGAAAGAGGAGUGGCGGACGGGUGAGUAACACGUGGGUAACCUACCCAUCAGAGGGGGAUAACACUUGGAAACAGGUGCUAAUACCGCAUAACAGUUUAUGCCGCAUGGCAUAAGAGUGAAAGGCGCUUUCGGGUGUCGCUGAUGGAUGGACCCGCGGUGCAUUAGCUAGUUGGUGAGGUAACGGCUCACCAAGGCCACGAUGCAUAGCCGACCUGAGAGGGUGAUCGGCCACACUGGGACUGAGACACGGCCCAGACUCCUACGGGAGGCAGCAGUAGGGAAUCUUCGGCAAUGGACGAAAGUCUGACCGAGCAACGCCGCGUGAGUGAAGAAGGUUUUCGGAUCGUAAAACUCUGUUGUUAGAGAAGAACAAGGACGUUAGUAACUGAACGUCCCCUGGCGGUAUCUAACCAGAAAGCCACGGCUAACUACGUG